This 890-nucleotide long non-coding RNA is filed under the name Coffea arabica (coffee). Its description in RNAcentral is "long non-coding RNA (CARA_LNC005396)". Lineage: Eukaryota; Viridiplantae; Streptophyta; Magnoliopsida; Gentianales; Rubiaceae. The record is from RNAcentral.
AAGAUUAAUCAUCACAUGAGGCAUUUCAAUAACUAAUAUCGAGUCUCAAAUCAUCACAAACUUGUCAAGGAAAUCUAGAUACCUAUAGCAGGAGCAAACUUGCACCCCUCUCACAUAGGUAGUAUGUACAGUUUGUCCAAAUGGUAAUCGAAAAAAAGAUUAUUACAUUACAUUCCACUAUUUUGACACUUGGUAUAACUAUUAAAUGCAACAGAAAUUCACUUCACUAAGCAUAAACAGCCAUGAGUUUACUCACUAGUUGCAAUCAGUAGUACAAAUUGAGCCAAAUUGCACUUGAGCCUAGGUUCUAAGUACCUUAGAAGUCCCAUAAAUUGAUAAAUCUACACCAUGAGCUUUCUAUUGAAUCGAAAAUAAACUAUUCACCAAAAAAAAGUUGAUUAGUAAAAAAUAGAAAAUUUAACCUCCAUCAUAAAGAAGUCUACCAUGCCUAACUCCAAUAGCAAAGCAGCUACAAUAAAAAAAAGAAAUUCAAUAAAUAAUAACAAUUUAAUCAGAAUUAAGCUGAUAAAUAAAAUACCUCAAAAAAUCGAAAAAAUAUUCUAAUCCAAAGAAGAGAAAAGAAAAAGAAAAGUAUCUUGUAAAACAAAGAUCCACAUCUAAAAAAGACUUGUUCUUUGUUAUUGGUAUUCUUAGUAUUGUUGAUUAAUUUAACAGAAAGAGAGAUAGAGCGAGAAAGAACCCGAGAGAACUAAGAAGAGACAGCCGCGAAGGGAGGUGAGAUGAAGCAGGGGAUUUGAGGAGUGAAACCUCCACGACACUUGUUCUCAAACAGCAGAUUUCAUUGAAAUCUAUGGUGGUUGCAUAAUAUGAAAAUUUUAGAAAGGAGAGGAGGAAGCAGGAAAAGAAACGGUGGUAGUUUGUGAAAAAAA